GUCGGUAUCGAUUAGGGGGGUAAAUCACUUCGUUGUGGCCGAAGAGCCGCUGGUUCGAUUCCAGCUACCGACA
This 73-nucleotide transfer RNA is filed under the name Armillaria ostoyae. It matches the Rfam family "tRNA". From Rfam's summary of the family: Transfer RNA (tRNA) molecules are approximately 80 nucleotides in length. Their secondary structure includes four short double-helical elements and three loops (D, anti-codon, and T loops). Lineage: Eukaryota; Fungi; Basidiomycota; Agaricomycetes; Agaricales; Physalacriaceae. The record is from RNAcentral.